UACGAAGGGGGCUAGCGUUGCUCGGAAUUACUGGGCGUAAAGCGCACGUAGGCGGGUUUUUAAGUCGGGGGUGAAAUCCUGGAGCUCAACUCCAGAACUGCCUCCGAAACUGAAGAUCUUGAGUUCGGGAGAGGUGAGUGGAACUGCGAGUGUAGAGGUGAAAUUCGUAGAUAUUCGCAAGAACACCAGUGGCGAAGGCGGCUCACUGGCCCGAUACUGACGCUGAGGUGCGAAAGCGUGGGGAGCAAACAGG
RNAcentral lists this ribosomal RNA (253 nucleotides) under uncultured bacterium. Its description in RNAcentral is "partial 16S ribosomal RNA". It matches the Rfam family "Bacterial small subunit ribosomal RNA", at positions 524 to 776 of the family's 1533-position model. The record is from RNAcentral.